Molecule: long non-coding RNA, 844 nt
Organism: Myotis daubentonii (Daubenton's bat)
Lineage: Eukaryota; Metazoa; Chordata; Mammalia; Chiroptera; Vespertilionidae
Exons: 3
Source: RefSeq, a predicted model, not a curated record
UGUAGAGAGGGGCAUUGAAGAACGUUUCCUAUUGGCUAGAAAAGAACAGUGGAGGAUCCAAGAUAGCCUUCCGCCCAUUGGUCCGGCGUUGCUAGGGCUGAGAGUAGACGUGUAGUCAUUGGCUGGCGGCCCUAGCAGGACUCUCCACGUUCCCUCUUCCGAGAAGUGCGUGGGAGCCGAGGCUUGGAAAGGAGGUAGUGGGGUUCCUGCAGGAACCCGGCCUCCAGCCGAAAGGGCUUUGAACCCAACUAAAUAUCAGUCAAAGGAGAUCAGAAUAUGACACCCUCAAAUAUGCCACUUUGGCAUAUCAAUUGUUUUGAGCUGAAGGCAACUGAGGAACAGCAGGCGCAGGAAGAGCUCUCUGCUAUCUGCGUGAAAGCUGGGCAUAAAUCUCCUAUGAAAAAAGCACAGUCCCUUUUCCAGGAAGAGAGGAUAGGAGAGCACUCCUAUCUCUGGAGGAGUCAAUGCUGAGAAUAUUCUUGGAGAAAGAGUAAAGAAAAUUUCAAGAUUCAUACAUGGAGCGCAGGACAUUGAGGUCAAGACUCUCAAACCAAAAAAGAUGACAAAAGCCUCUUCUACCUUCAGAAGAAGUGAGAUGAUCCUGACUGGGAACCAUGUGAUGUGGGAGGCAGUAGAGAACUUGGCUUAAAAAUGGAAGAUUUUUUUUUAAGGAUUGCAGGAAAACACUCUUUAAUUUAUUUACUUUAAAAUCUUAUCUUUAUUGCUUUUUCUGUUGGAGAAGUAUUAUAUGUUCACUAGAAGCCCGGUGCACGAAAUUUGUGCACUGGAGGGGGGGCGGGUCCCUCAGCCUGGCCCGUGCCCUCUCGCAGUCCAGGACCUCUCU